This 3463-nucleotide long non-coding RNA is filed under the name Physcomitrium patens. RNAcentral describes it as "long non-coding RNA (PPAT_LNC004530)". Lineage: Eukaryota; Viridiplantae; Streptophyta; Bryopsida; Funariales; Funariaceae. The record is from RNAcentral.
CUAUAUAUGGGUUUUAUGCUCUCUGGGGCACAAACAGCAGCUCAGCCCUAAAAGCUCCUCCGUUGCACUUUCCAAGCUGACUGGGCAUUCUAUGGCGCGUUCAUAUCGUAUCAUGUAAGAUACUAUACGCAAUCACAACACACACUAUCAUAGUAAUGAAAAAUCUAGAAGCAACGUUUAUUUAUUUAUUUAUUUAUAAAUGCGGCAGUAAUCAUUUUCCUUGCAUCCCAUACUUAAAAAAUAUAUAUACAUUGAAAACGUCAUGAAGAAUAAGCUGCUGGCGAAGAUACAGACACACACACACACACAGAGAAACAGUAUAAAUAUAGAAAAUAUAUAAAUAGAUAAAUAGAUAGAAAAAGUAUUUAUACUGAAUCAUGAAGAAAUUGGAUAUAUUCUCAAAUUUCAAAGUGUGGAAUAUGUUUUUUCAUGCAACAGAUUGCAUGUUGAAUUCACCAAACAGAUAUCCAAAAAUGAUCAUCGGGAUACACAUUCAAGCUGUGUCGCUGUAACACACACAGGCAGAUAUGCGAAUGGAUGAAUGGUGGAUGAGAGAUAGAUUAGUGGAUGAAUACUUAGGGGAGGAGGAGCGAUUGAUGGGGCUAUGGCGGGAGCGGCACCACGAAGCGCGUAAUGUGACAUCGUGACGGAGACGCCGUCAAAGACCAGGUCCAACUGCGGGGCUGGGGCCAAGUCGUCGCCGUCGCCGUCGCAGUUGAAGACAACCACCACCACAUGGCUCUGGCAAGGCCGUCGUCACGAGGUCCAUGUGAGGAGGAGGAUCAUGCGUCUAUGCGUGGUGAGAGAGGGGGAGAUUGUGUUAGCCCAAGGGCGGGUGGGGGAAGAGAUUCACACGAUCGAAUUUCUGAACAUGGAACCACUAUCGUUUCAGACCACGGUGCUGCCGAAUCCCCUUCAAAUGGGCGGGAAUGGGAGAAGGGCUACUCCCAAUCCCUGCCCCAAUUCCGUCCUCCCCCUCAUCCCAACCCAGUUAGUUUCGUGACGCGAUUCCUGACAGCAAGUUGUUGGUAACACUGUCGAAUGGCGAUGAAGCACACCACGCUUGGCGAUGGGAGAAGGAAGCUUAAGCACUUUUGACUGUGACGUGCUGGUGAUACUCAUCCAGCAGGGAGCCGAUGCAGGUCAGCCAGCAUGUGGGGCGCGUCGGCACCAAUAGCGGAGGCGACGCACUGAUCGUGGUCUAGACGGAAAGGGGAGGCACUGAUCAUCGGGUCUUCGGUUACCCCCCCCCCAAUUCUCUCCUAAUCCCGGUGAGCUUCCACAUCUCUGAGUCGAGAAUGACUCCAUCCUAUAUGAACAGGGGUUACGCUUCCCAUCGUUUUGUGGAUUCGCUUCACUGAUCGGAAUGUUUGUUCCAGUCGCAUACGAGAAACUCCCACACAUUUGGGUGAAAUUCCUGCUGCUUGUUACAAUGCUUGCUCACUGGGGAGCGACAACCCUAAAUUGGUAAAACAAAUAUGCUGAUUCGGAAAAAGAAAAAAGCUGGCAUGGGACUCUCAAGCGAUGCUGCGCAGAUUUUGCUUGCCAGCACCAAAUCUGAACUGAUCGAGCCUACGCCAUGAAUCUAUUAUUGAGUCGACUCAGGAUUAGGGUUUGCGCCAGCAAGACUGAUUCCGAUGACGACGGUGCACCGUUGGUGAGAGCAUUCAUGAAAACUCACUGACUUUGAUUAACCCCAGAAAUUGACAUGAUUAAGAAUGGCUUCAAUCUUAUCCUUUCAUAUACUAAUUAAUAUAAGAGGUAUAUAAAGACCUUCUAAAGGGAUGAGUCUGAUGUUUCCGUGCUGUGUAAUUUUAAUUAUAUGUUUAAAUAAUUAUUGAAUAUCAUAAUUUAAUUCACUAAUUAAUUUAAUUAUAUUUUGUAUAAUUAAAUAAUAUAAAAUCAUUACUAACAGCAAGAAUUUGAGUAAAAUAAGACACCUUUUGCAUUGUCUUUGAAGUUGUAAUAAUAUUUCAUACAAAACUUUCAUUUAUUUAUUUUUAUUAAAUUAGUUGUGUACUUCAAAAUGAAAAAUAGCGAAACACAACUUUUACUAUAAUUUCUUUUUAUAUUCAAUGAAUAUAUGAUAUAAAAUAUGAUUGUUUUUGAACAAUUACUAUAAUCAUUAAUGAAAUAUUGAUAGAUUUAUAAACGAAAUUUGGUUUGUGGUCCAUGUAGUUUGACCUUGGCAAUUGUAUAUGUAUGCAAAAUAAGAAGAAUAAUAAUAAUUAUUAUUACUAAUGUGCAUUUCGAAUUUAUUUAUUUAUGCCAAUAAAAACCACGUUUCAAUUUCAACACUGUCCAGAAUGCAUUUGUACAUUAACUUUGAAGUACUUAUUCUGCUCUACACGUUCUUUUAUUACAUCAUGUAGAAAGCAUAGUGUGUUCACAAAAAACAAUAUAGUCCUUUCCAAGUUGCUCUUCUACACCCACAUCCAUUUAUUUAAACAUUGUUUUUUGUUUUGUUUUUUCGGUCUAGUAGCCUAACCUCAACAACGGAAUUUCACUAUGUCAAUGUAAGCGAAUGAUUUCGAAAGCCAAGUCUGAAUGUUGACCUUUAAUUGUUUCUAAUUUGUACCCAUAUACUCCACAAUCCAUGGAAUUGUGGGAACCAAGUAAAAAGUGUGUUACCAAAAAUGGGGUGGGAAGAAGAACUAGGUGAACAACACUUGGCAGUCAAAACUGGGUGAACCACACUUGGAUGUUACCUGGCCUCCAGUUUUGAGCGCCAGGUGUACCUCGGCGUUUCUUUGUGCCAUCGGCACAGCGUGAUGGUGUUUGAUGUGGGCUCCCUCAGAUCGAAUUGUGUCGCCUAUUCAGGAGUGGUCGAUUGGAGUCGUGCACGUUUUAAUUGCAUUUUGGGCUAAUUGGGUCGAUUCAUGUUGUCGAUUUCAACGUGUAGUCCAGGUCUAGGGCGAAUUGGAAGAAACGUUAGAGGGGUUGAGCGAGAAGUUGAGGAGAGUUUAGGGUUAUCUGGGUAGGAAGGAAUGGAGGGCACAGGUGAUAACGAUCACAAUUCGAAGGUGCCAGAGAAGGCGGUGAGCCCUACUUCGGAGGCUCGAAAGGUGAUAGACCAUGCUGCUUAUAAUGCUCGAGCGGUAGGGAAAGUCCUGCUUCACCCUCUCAGCAAGGAGGCGCAGACGGAGGCUAUCGCCAAAGCCCGCGAAGACAAGGCUGUCUCUGAUCAGCGAACGGCCCCUGUCAGCGAUACUGUAGCGCAGCAGGCCGAUCCCCUCUGAAUGUCCAUAAGUAAAAAGCACACCAGGCCUCAUGCUGGAGUGAUGUUGACGCAAAACUGCCACUGGAGCAACACCCACACUGGAUCCACGGGGAAUUAGACUCAGUGUAGGAGGAUUUCUUGGAUUUUCAUCUCAGAUUUGUACUCAUUUUCGCGUGUAAAUGAACCGAAGUUUGGCUACAAUUUCAGCUCAAGUUCUUGUUUUCAGGCUCCUGCUUCUGUUCU